UUUGCCACUGGAGUUACAGCUUUUCUUGGAC
This 31-nucleotide non-coding RNA is filed under the name Mus musculus (house mouse). The record is from RNAcentral. Lineage: Eukaryota; Metazoa; Chordata; Mammalia; Rodentia; Muridae.